GCAGACCGGAAGAUCUUCGCGGACCAUUUGGAGAGUAUGGACCCCUGAAGGAUGUUUACUUACCGCGUGACUAUUAUACUGGCGUGGACCAGUAUGGUAGCCGUUUGAUUCAACAGAAACUUGAAACCGCUACUACCGAGGAUAAAAACAUGGUUUUUCAAGAGAUUUUCCCUCAGGCUCUUACUUUGAUGACCGAUGUCUUUGGAAAUUAUGUGAUUCGGAAGUUUUUCGAGCAUGGAAUGCCAGCUCAGCGAAGAGAAUUGGCUGGAAAGCUGUUGGGCCAUGUUUUGUCCCUUAGUCUUCAAAUGUACGGCUGCCGAGUUAUACAGAAGGUAAUAAUAUGUUGCACAUGUGUUAUCUAAUUUAGUGAUUUUACCUACAUUAUUAUGUAUAUGUGGUUGUAAAAUUCACAUUA
Molecule: long non-coding RNA, 415 nt
Organism: Helianthus annuus (common sunflower)
Lineage: Eukaryota; Viridiplantae; Streptophyta; Magnoliopsida; Asterales; Asteraceae
Exons: 3
Source: RefSeq, a predicted model, not a curated record